This 381-nucleotide ribosomal RNA is filed under the name uncultured bacterium. Its description in RNAcentral is "bacterial SSU rRNA". It matches the Rfam family "Bacterial small subunit ribosomal RNA", at positions 30 to 412 of the family's 1533-position model. The record is from RNAcentral.
AUUGAACGCUGGCGGAAUGCUUUACACAUGCAAGUCGAACGGCAGCACGGGAGCAAUCCUGGUGGCGAGUGGCGAACGGGUGAGUAAUAUAUCGGAACGUGCCCAGUCGUGGGGGAUAACGUAGCGAAAGCUACGCUAAUACCGCAUACGAUCUAUGGAUGAAAGCGGGGGAUCGCAAGACCUCGCGCGAUUGGAGCGGCCGAUAUCAGAUUAGGUAGUUGGUGAGGUAAAGGCUCACCAAGCCGACGAUCUGUAGCUGGUCUGAGAGGACGACCAGCCACACUGGGACUGAGACACGGCCCAGACUCCUACGGGAGCAGCAGUGGGGAAUUUUGGACAAUGGGCGAAAGCCUGAUCCAGCAAUGCCGCGUGCAGGAAGAA